AUUGAACGCUGGCGGAAUGCUUUACACAUGCAAGUCGAGCGGCAGCGCGGGGCAACCUGGCGGCGAGCGGCGAACGGGUGAGUAAUGUAUCGGAACGUAUCCUGAAGUGGGGGAUAACGUAGCGAAAGUUACGCUAAUACCGCAUAUUCUGUGAGCAGGAAAGCAGGGGAUCUUCGGACCUUGCGCUUUUGGAGCGGCCGAUGUCGGAUUAGCUAGUUGGUGGGGUAAAGGCCCACCAAGGCGACGAUCCGUAGCGGGUCUGAGAGGAUGAUCCGCCACACUGGAACUGAGACACGGUCCAGACUCCUACGGGAGGCAGCAGUGGGGAAUUUUGGACGAUGGGCGCAAGCCUGAUCCCAGCCAUGCCGCGUGAGUGAAGAAGGCCUU
RNAcentral lists this ribosomal RNA (387 nucleotides) under uncultured bacterium. RNAcentral's name for it is "bacterial SSU rRNA". It matches the Rfam family "Bacterial small subunit ribosomal RNA", at positions 30 to 418 of the family's 1533-position model. The record is from RNAcentral.